Long non-coding RNA from Oxyura jamaicensis (ruddy duck), 222 nucleotides. RefSeq lists it as uncharacterized. The record is from RefSeq and is a predicted model, not a curated record. The transcript has 3 exons. Lineage: Eukaryota; Metazoa; Chordata; Aves; Anseriformes; Anatidae.
GACAAAACUUUUUCACAGUGAGGGUGACAGAGCACUGGAACAGGCUGCCCAGGGAGGUUGUGGAGUCUCCUUUUCUGGAGACAUUCAAAAUGCGUCUGGGUGCAUUCCUGUGUGACAUGAUUUAGGUGUUCCUGUUCCGGCAGGGGGAUUGGACUAAAUGAUCUUUCAAGGUCCAUUCCAAUCCCUAACAUUCUGUAAUUCUGAGACCACAUUUCAGUUCUU